AACGAACGCUGGCGGCAGGCCUAACACAUGCAAGUCGAACGAACCGUUCGGGGCUAGUGGCGCACGGGUGAGUAACGCGUGGGAACGUGCCUUUAGGUUCGGAAUAACUCCCGGAAAGUGGUGCUAAUACCGCAUAUGCUCUUCGGAGGAAAGAUUAAUCGUCGUUAGAGCGGCCCGCAGCUGCUUAGCUAGUUGGUAGCGGUAAUGGCUCACCAAGGCGACGAUCAGUAGCUGGUUUGAGAGGAUGAGCAGCCACAUUGGGACUGAGACACGGCCCAGACUCCUACGGGAGGCAGCAGUGGGGAAUCUUGCACAAUGGGCGAAAGCCUGACGCAGCCAUGCCGCGUGAAUGAUGAAGGUCUUAGGAUUGUAAAAUUCUUUUACCUGGGAUGAUAAUGACGGUACCCGGAGAAGAAGCCCCGGCUAACUUCGUG
This 434-nucleotide ribosomal RNA is filed under the name uncultured bacterium. RNAcentral's name for it is "partial 16S ribosomal RNA". It matches the Rfam family "Bacterial small subunit ribosomal RNA", at positions 29 to 507 of the family's 1533-position model. The record is from RNAcentral.